GGGACUUUGGGAUUUAGUGGGAUCUUGUACUAGACCUCCCACCCUGUGUUGUUAUACCUUCGUUGCUUUGGCGGGCCGCGGGGCUCCGGCCCUGCCCCUGGCUCCGGCUAGGGCGCGCCCGCCAGAGGACCCUAAAACCUGAGCGUUAGUGUCGUCUGAGUACUAUCUAAUAGUUAAAACUUUCAACAACGGAUCUCUUGGUUCUGGCAUCGAUGAAGAACGCAGCGAAAUGCGAUAAGUAAUGUGAAUUGCAGAAUUCAGUGAAUCAUCGAAUCUUUGAACGCACAUUGCGCCCCUUGGUAUUCCGGGGGGCAUGCCUGUUCGAGCGUCAUUACAACCCUCAAGCUCUGCUUGGUCUUGGGCGUCACCGGUCCCCGGUGUGCCUUAAACUCAGUGGCGGCGCCAUCUGGCUCUAAGCGUAGUACAUACUCUCGCUACAGACGCCCGGUGGACGCUGGCCAGCAACCCCCAACUUACUAAGGUUGACCUCGGAUCAGGUAGGGAUACCCGCUGAACUUAAGCAUAUCAAUAAGCCGGAGGAAAUCAUUAAGGAGACUCUGCCCUUGGGUAAACCUCCCCCCGUGUUGUAAAACCUCCGUUGCUAUGGCGGGCGCAGGGCUCGGCAGCCCUGGUCCGCAUAAGGGGGCCGCCGAGGACCUAAAACUGAGCGUUAGUGUCUUCGAGUACUAUCUAAAAGUUAAAACUUUCACAACGUAUCUCUUG
This 723-nucleotide ribosomal RNA is filed under the name fungal endophyte. RNAcentral's name for it is "eukaryotic LSU rRNA". The stretch from base 178 to 331 matches the Rfam family "5.8S ribosomal RNA". The record is from RNAcentral. Lineage: Eukaryota; Fungi.